Spinacia oleracea (spinach) is the source of this 1760-nucleotide long non-coding RNA. RefSeq lists it as uncharacterized. The transcript has 5 exons. The record is from RefSeq and is a predicted model, not a curated record. Lineage: Eukaryota; Viridiplantae; Streptophyta; Magnoliopsida; Caryophyllales; Amaranthaceae.
ACCCAGUCAGCGAACGCUGUGAAUAGGUCGUGUAUUGCAACUCCCUCCAAACACACGCGCUGCACCUUGCAACUCCCCCAUUCUCCCUAGAACUCUCCGUCCAUUUCAUAUCAAACCCUAAGAAGCCUCUCUCUCUCUAAAUCUCUAUGCAAAUUCCCUUAAAAAAAUCUCUAUGUAAAUCUCUCAUUCAUACUAUAUUCCUCCAAAACCUUUAAUAGAUUUACUCAUUAAGGAUACCUCAAAAUCUUUCGAUUUUGCAUCAAGUAUAUAUUCAACCAGGAGAGAGAGAUGAAGAGAGGGAGGAAGAGAGAGAAAGAUGCUGAACUUCUUUGAGAUCUACAUUCAAUCUCCGUCGUUGACUUCACGGAAUUGCCUCAUCUUUCGGCUGCAAGGCGUGAGAUCUUCAGAUCGAUUUCUUGGAUGCUUUGUUCUAGGGGAACGAAUUAACUUCCAAAUUUUGUUGAGGAUUUAUUGUCCAAGUUUGAACAAUUUUCUUCAAUUUGGAUUCUCUCUGAUUGGAACCUUUUUAAUAACAACCCCCUUCCUCAAAUGGUUCAGUUUUGAAUAUAUUAAUCAUGGUAUGAUCUUGGAAGACAGCCAGCUAACACUAAACUGUCAAGCAACAAGACAGUUAGGAGGGUUGGGUCUGUGGUGGUAAUGUCAUGUGGCGUGCACUGAGGUUGGAUACAAACAAAUUUUCAUGGGGUGGUGAAGCUUUGACCCGCAAGACUCGUCUUUUGGAUGUUGUAUACAAUGCAUCCAACUAUGACUUGGUUAGGACCCAGACUUAGGUGAAGAGUGUCAUUGUUCAAGUUGAUGCUGCAACAUUUAAGUAGUGGUAUCUCCAGCACUAAGAUGUUGAGAGUGGAUGCAAGAAGAAGGCUGCUGCAGCCGCCGCCAAGAAAGAAACCCAGGAUCUUGAAUCUGAUACCGUGAGAAAUCACCUUACAGUGCUUGCUGAAUCUUUGAAUAAAGCAAGGUCCACGAUAUAUCCGAUCCUCCCCCUAACAAAGCAUCAAAAAUCGAAGAUACUUUGCCUGGUUUAGCUGAGCUUGUGGAGAAGGAACAUAAGAAGCUUCUUGCUCGUAAAACAAUCAUUGAACAGCGCAAAGAGGAACAAGAACGCCAGCUUUUAGAGAAAGUUUGUUCACUCAUUGAUGUACCUUUAAUUCAGGCAGUUGUUCUGUUUUAGAGACUUGACUGCUUUGGUGUCUUAAAAGGAGCGUGAGGAAGAGUCGAAGAUAUUACAGCUACAGAAAAGUAAUGUGGAAGCUGAACAAAAAAGGCUUUCUUCUGAACUUGAGAAGAGGAAAAUUCAGCGCAUCCAAAAGGAAAUAGAAGAACGUGAGAUUGAAGAAGCCAAAUCCCUACUUCAGGAAAAGUUUUCCAAAAAUAAGAAGAAACCACUUAUAGAAGGGGAUAAGUUGACAAAGCAAGCAUUGAUGGAGUUGGGUCUCAACGAGCAGCUGAGGGAGAAACAAGAAAUGGAGAAAAAACUACAGAAGUUGAGCAAGCAAAUGGAUUAUCUUAAGAGAGCUAAGAGAGAGGAGGCAGCUCCAUUAAUUGAAUCUGCAUCUGUACAUGUACGGAAUCUUUUAUGGUGUUCCUUGUUUGGAUUCUUAGUUCCUACCUUUUGGUAAUAAAUUUUGCUAAUUUACCAAAAUAAAAAAUGGAUUAUUAUUGUAAUGAUUUUUUUUGUAAAAUAAAUGUACUAUUUGCAGCGCGCACUGUUAGGUGAAUGCUGCGAAUAGUUUCAGAAA